Non-coding RNA from Coffea arabica (coffee), 1400 nucleotides. The record is from RefSeq and is a predicted model, not a curated record. Lineage: Eukaryota; Viridiplantae; Streptophyta; Magnoliopsida; Gentianales; Rubiaceae.
UGCUACAGUGCCUAUAGUUAUGGUAACGAUAUUAGGGAAACCUGCUAUUAUAGGUUUCUAUUACCUUUAGUGACAGAUCAAAUCUUUUAGUGACUUUUUAAAUAUUAUAUUAAAAUAAUUAAUAUUAACUUUAGUAAGUUUUUAAUUAAAACUAGUAAGUAUAUGCCUGAAAGAUAAGAUUUAGUCAGAAAUAGAAAUUUACACUUUGAGUAAUUUAAUUUACUUAUUAUUUGACAAAAUUUACUUAUGUUUAAAUUAAACUUACCAAUACUGAAAGUAAAAAAUGUACAUAUUUAAGUAAAAAAACGGUUUUGGGUUCCUGAAAACGGUUUUGGGUAUCACCUUUCUCUUUAAAGUUAUCUACCUUCUUCUUAUUCAGUUCCCAGUUCCAAUGAUACGAUUGAAUUCCCAGGCAAAGGUUUCCACUUUGAUCCACACUUUCUCUUUGUUACAAUUGAAUAAAUCUUCUCACUUCAAAAUUUUCAUCUUUAGUUCACACUUUGCUUCUAUCCUUUCUCAUCGUUCGGUUGGGUUUGAGUGCUGCCAUAUGCAAACACAACAAAAGGGUUAGCGACGGUGGUAGCCAGCCAAAGAGCAUAUGAAAAAUAGCAGUGACGAGGCAAAGGUUUCCACUUUGGUCCAUACUUUCUCUUGGUCCAAUUGUUGUUGCUACAAAGGGACAAAAGGCAAAACAGUCCACUCACAAGCGAAAGCGAAGACGAUGCAAAAAUUGCAAGUCAUUUGGACAUGAUAGACGAAAAUGUACUAAAGUGUGCACAGAUGCAUAUGAAACUCACAAUUAUGAUCAUGUUGGGGCACCCAAUAAUGUUGAGAAUGUAAAUUUGAAUCUGAUAGGAUCAUCCGAUGGCCUAUUGCAAUCAGAUUCACAGCAUGGAUGCAAUAAGGAAUUAAUGGAUAGUAAUUGGUUUCAGAUCAUUCCUCCUGGUCAGGCAUUAAUGUGGGCAUGCAAUCCUUCAUUAAUCCAAAGUCAUGUACAAAACACUAGCUUGUUAGGAGAUGAAAAGUAUUCAGUGAAUGAACCAGAUUUCAGCCAAGACCAUUAAGGAAUUUUAUUCUUGAGAGAGUACAAAUGUUUUUGCACGUCUUUGCUCAAAGCUUUUAGGAUGAUUUAAGUUUCUUCGAAGCUUGCUUGGAAAAAAGUUUGGUGAUCAAAUUUCAGAUAUUGUUAGCAUCCAAGUGCUCUUGGGUUUGUAAACCAGAAAUGUCAAUCCAAACUGAAGCUUUUGAUAGUGAUAUCAGAGCCCUUGAUGCUGGUGAUCAAAUUCUCAAAUCAAGUUACUUGCCUUUUGAUUGCUUCAGAUUUCUGAAGCCAAAGUCUUUGUGCUCUAAAUUCAGUUCUUGGCCAUGUAAUCUUGUCAUGCUUAGAUAGCUAUAUCUAG